Molecule: long non-coding RNA, 537 nt
Filed under: Homo sapiens (human)
Lineage: Eukaryota; Metazoa; Chordata; Mammalia; Primates; Hominidae
Description: non-protein coding lnc-AJAP1-6:1
Source: RNAcentral
UGAGGCCUCCCCAGCCAUCCGGAACUGUGAGUCAAUUACACCUCUUUUGCUUUAUAAAUUACCGAGUCUCAGGUAGUCUCUUUAUAGCAGUGUGGGAACAGACUAAUACAGUAACUCAAAUAGGCAGAGUUAAAUGUGGAUCUGAGUUAUGGUUCCAGAUAUGUUUAACUAUUUGUGUGUUUGCAAUAAUUCUGCAAAGAAAGAUUUUUACGGCAUUGAAAUAUCCAACCCCACAGUUCCCUCUGCCCUAGCAGAGGUUCUCCAAGAGAGCCUUGCUCCUGUAGCAAACAUCUGCCUGGAAAUCCAGGCAUUUCCAUACAUCCUCUGAAAAGGGGCUGCCACAAUGGUCUCUGACAUGCCCUGGAGACAUUUUCCUCAUUGUCUUGGUUCAAGGGGUGAGAGUGGGCCACAUUUGGAACAAAUUGUUAACAAUAGGUGAUUCAUUAAACACACACACACACAUAAUUAAAACCUAUUUAACAAUUAUUUUAAAACAUUCUAAUGGAACAUAGAUCUUUGAGUGUCUUCUUUCUUAAA